GACGAACGCUGGCGGCGUGCUUAACACAUGCAAGUCGAACGGAAAGACCCUGCUUUUGUGGGGUGCUCGAGUGGCGAACGGGUGAGUAACACGUGAGUAACCUGCCCUUGACUUUGGGAUAACUUCAGGAAACUGGGGCUAAUACCGGAUAGGAGCUCCUGCUGCAUGGUGGGGGUUGGAAAGUUUCGGCGGUUGGGGAUGGACUCGCGGCUUAUCAGCUUGUUGGUGGGGUAGUGGCUUACCAAGGCUUUGACGGGUAGCCGGCCUGAGAGGGUGACCGGCCACAUUGGGACUGAGAUACGGCCCAGACUCCUACGGGAGGCAGCAGUGGGGAAUAUUGCACAAUGGGCGGAAGCCUGAAGCAGCAACGCCGCGUGCGGGAUGACGGCCUUCGGGUUGUAAACCGCUUUCGCCUGUGACGAAGCGUGAGUGACGGUAAUGGGUAAAGAAGCACCGGCUAACUACGUG
This 468-nucleotide ribosomal RNA is filed under the name uncultured bacterium. RNAcentral describes it as "partial 16S ribosomal RNA". It matches the Rfam family "Bacterial small subunit ribosomal RNA", at positions 28 to 507 of the family's 1533-position model. The record is from RNAcentral.